AGACACCAAGGAGAGGCCAACAGAUGAGGGGAGCCAUUUUUCUGCAAUGGAAUUAAAUGGCCAAGCUAAAGGAUUCACAAUUGGAAGAAUGAAGAAGACUUUUUAAAAAGAUCUGGAUUUUUCCUUAUGACUUGGAAUCCAUCUUUGUCUUGUAUAACUAGGUCAUAGCACACCAUUAAUGUCAGCAGUUAACAAUUUUGAAUUCCAAAAAACCUAAAGCAGUAAACAGUCCUCAGCGAAGCCGCCUUUUGCCAACCCAACCCUGGAAAGUUUGCAGAAGUGGAAGGAGCAGAAAAUGCCAUGAGAGUGUAACUUUAAAAAGGCGAGAGAAAGGUCUCUCUAGCGACCUCGGACAUCCAUGGAGCCGCCUGCGCUCGUCCCCCUCGCUUUUCUAGGCUCACGACCGGAGAAGAGGUAUCCCCAACGUUGACCGUCUUUUUUCGGACAGCAGAAACAGGUCCAGUUUGACUCUGACAAUCUUCCCGCUAAGGAAUUCCUGGUGAAUAGAGGAAUGACACCGGUCCUCAGAACAUCUCGCAGCCACUCCCUGAGCUUCGGGGUCCCUGAUGCGGGGCAAGCCUGAGGCAGCCAAAGGGAAGAGGCUUGUGCCUGGCUCAAAGCUUCCAGCUGCCACUGUGCACCCCAGCCCUGUCCCAGCCUCACCAGCCAAUCACAGCUCCUCCCUGGUCAUGGGAAAAGCUUUGUCUGGGCUCCUCUCCUGUUAAGAGCCUCUGUCCAGCACCCCUCUUGAGCCUGGCAACCAGGCCUCCACGAUCUAACCCUGGUUACUAACUUGACAAUCAUGUCUGGCCUCCCUCACUCCCCAGCCACUGCCAAACCUGAUAUGAUGUCUAGCCACCAUACACUUACCCAGGCUGGGUACCCAUCCUACUUCUGCUGGCCUUUCCUGCCAGCACUGACAAGCUUGGUUCAUGUGCUGCCUGCCUCUCAACCUUCUCUGAACCCUAGAGGCUCUGGUGUCUAAAUUGUUCACAUCUCAGAACGCUUCCCCCAAGACUGAGUUCCUCAGAGGCAGGAACACAAUUCCCUCUCAAUAAACUUGUGCU
This 1067-nucleotide long non-coding RNA is filed under the name Sus scrofa (pig). RNAcentral's name for it is "lncRNA (ENSSSCG00000063011.1)". The record is from RNAcentral. Lineage: Eukaryota; Metazoa; Chordata; Mammalia; Artiodactyla; Suidae.